This 3116-nucleotide long non-coding RNA is filed under the name Nicotiana benthamiana. RNAcentral's name for it is "long non-coding RNA (NBEN_LNC004905)". Lineage: Eukaryota; Viridiplantae; Streptophyta; Magnoliopsida; Solanales; Solanaceae. The record is from RNAcentral.
GUUCACUUUACCAUAUUUGGCUGUUUCCCAGUUGAGCAAUCAGACAACAUUAGCACUUCCAUUGGGCCCACACCUCAAGAAAUUCAUGAGAUGAAUUGUCAAAACAAUCACAUGGUCUGCCGACCAUCUUAACUUCCCAUGUUCCUCCUCUUCAUCCUAUGAGAUGUAACAUUUUCUCUACUCAUUUAUUAUUCACCGAAAAGUACAAUCCAAGACACAGAUUUCAGGAACGUAACGUUUUCUCUACUCAGUUAUUAUUCACCGAAAAGUACAAUCCGAGACACAGAUUUCAGGAAACAAAAGUAAAAGGUGUUCUCUUUAUUUAUCUUCUUACCCUAUCUUUUCAUUUUCCUUUUCUCUGCAAAAUCUCCAGAUAUGCUCAAGGGUUUAAGGGGUAAGUAUACAUUUUUGGACAUGCAAAAAAAACCUACCUUUUCUGAGUUUCUCUUUACAUGUCUGUAAAAGGUUCCAACUUUUCACCGGUUUUUGUUACAUUUUUAGCCUGAAUGGUUCAUGCGUAAUUCUGUUCGGGGGCUGAGGAUAUUUUUUACUCUCCGGCUCUCUGUUUGGUCCAAGUGGCAAUUUUGAUGUUUUGGGUCUCUGAUUUUUGUUAGAGGUUUUUUUCCUUUUUGGAAAAAAAUUCCAACGUUUAUGUAAAGCAAUUUUAAUUUUUUCUAGAGAACUUUUCUAAAGCUAAAUUUGGCAAUAUUUCCUAGGGCAAUGUUGCUUCGGAAAGAAUAUAUUAUCGUGUUUUUUUGGUUAUAUCUUCACGAUUUUGUCAAAAUUACUUUUUCAAGCAAAGAUUUUCUUUCUGUUAGAGCACCUACUUUAUAUGUUUGGAAUUAGCUCGGAAAAUUUCAUUAAUUAAUAAUAAUAUAAUGAGUUGUAAGCAUUUUACUUUCGCCUAUCAUUCUUUGUUUUGGUAAAAUUUGAGGAUAAAUGAGAAGAUUCUGUGAUACUUGGAAUCUAAGUAGACUCCUACUUUUGGUAGGACAAUUAUACCAUAUAGUUACUUUCUAACUUACCUACUAGGUUUUGCAUACGCAUUAUACAUGUAUUCCUAUAAUAUUUGAAUACGGUAACAUUAUAAACCUACGCUGUAUAUACCACUACUUUUUACUUUUCCUUAAUUUGAAGUCUUAGGUUUCGCUCUACUAAACCAUUAACAGAGAUAGUGCAGGAAAAGGUGAGAUGCAUGGGUUAUGUGUAUGAAUGAUGUGCUUGACUCCUUGUUCAAUGGAGCCAUUGUAUAGUUAUACAAUAUAUAAUAAAUGUUGAAUCUCCUCUGUCUUGGUGUAUGUACUUGUUUAUACUUUGAAUUCCCUUAGUAAAAUCUUGGCUCUGUUACAUAAUGGCUAUGUAACGCGUUUUCCAUUUGCUUUGACCUAUUCUUGUUUACAAUGUUGGUGUGGUUUCAUGGUAUAUAGUUCUAAUUCUUCUUGGGUAUAUCUCAGAAUAUUAAUAUGGUUGAACAAAAUUGUUGGGAUUACAUUCCCAUGGGGCCCAUCGUCGAUGAAGACUUUGAAAGCUUACUCAAUAGUUUGGACUUCCCCUUGGAAAGUUUGGAAGAAGACGGCCUCGGUAGAGAUUGGGAUCCUAGCCUGUACCAAUUACUCGGGCCAAUCCCUGCGGAUGCGUUACCUCCAGUGUCCCGUGGCGAUAAUGCCAAUGGCUGUUUGAAUGCAGCUGUGAGUUUUAACUUGGACAGCAUACAUGCCCUUUUCUUAUUAGUUAGUUAUUAAUUCUUUCUUUGUUUUUCAAAUAUGUGUUUUGCUAUACACUUUGCUAUAGGGAAGCAUCCCUUUCUCUAAUAGAACAAUUUUGAUUUGAUUUUUGCUAAGUAAGAAGGGAAAGCUACUUUACCCGUCCCUAAAAGAAUUUAUUUUCUUUCAAUCUUUUUGGUUUUUGAAUUUAAAAGACUAAACCGGAAAAAUAUUGCUUUAAUUUUAGCUAAGCUAAAUAAUAAGGGAGAGUUUGCUUUACCAGGCUCAUUUUUGGUGUUUGAAUGUAGAAGACUAAACCAGAAAAAGAAAAAUGUGGAAGACUAAAACAACAACAAAAGGACAGAGUAUUAAAGCUUUGAAACUUUCAUAAAUAUAUGUUGUAUGAUCCCUGCCUCUUGACAAGUGAUAUUAGCUUAUUUGCACAUGUCCUUUACCUUAAUGGCUCCCUCCCAGCCUCCUCAAUGUCCCAAUUUUUGAUAAGUGAUAUUAGCUUAUUUGCACAUGUCCUUUACCUUAAUGGCUCCCUCCCAGCCUCCUCAGUGUUCCAAUUUUUUAUACAAAUGGAGGUAAUGUCAUUCUUGCUUGGAAAUCCAAUAAAGAAUAGAUCAAUCUUAUCGUAGUUGUAAUGACACAAUUUGUUUCAUUUUCAUAAAUUCUAGUGCUUUAGCGUUAUAGGAGGAAAAGGGACUUGUUUCCCACACAUAGAGGUUUUAAAUGUUCAGUUUCAUAUCUUGCUAUACAACAUUCUAUAAUAGUCAUCCCUGCUUUUUUAGUGCAACUAGACUGAUACGUAGCUUAGCGAGUCUUGCGCGUUGACCUGCUGGUGACUAAUUCUCUUAUCUUCAUGCUUGUCUUAAGUGUCUCUUUAGGUCUGAAGUAAUGGAAUUAAUCUCAAUCCCCGAGCUAAGUGAUACAAAGCUCUUCUUUAACCUCUUAGUAUUAUGCAGUUGUUCAAAUUCAAAUUUGUUCUCCUCUUUGUUGAAAUGCUUAUAUAGACAUGCACAGGUGUUCAAAUUCAAAUUUGUUCUCCUCUUUAUUGAAAUGCUUAUAUAGACAUGCAAACCAUCACAGCGUGUUCAAAACUUAUCAGUGACCUGCGGCACAUUCGCUUGGCAUGUUGUUUGUUGCCUCGAAUUUUAAGGCUAAUAUGAGAAAGAAUGGAAAACUGAACUCCCAAACUUCCUUAGAUCUUCUGUUUCUCGUUUUCUUUUUGUUGAACUCUUGUGGUUAACUCUUAAAAAAGUAGCAUUCCUAGGCAAAAAUAGCUUUUGAUUUAUGUGGAAUAAAUUUCUAACUCGGUGUUAUCCUAUCAGAAUGAAUUACCUGAGGCCCAAGGAACUGUUCCAUUCCAGGCACACAGCCCAAUUUCUGUUCUUGAACACAACAGCUCCU